AUCGCUUCUCAGCCUUUUGGCUAAGAUCAAGUGUAGUAUCUGUUCUUAUCAGUUUAAUAUCUGAUACGUCCUCUAUCCGAGGACAAUAUAUUAAAUGGAUUUUUGGAACUAGGAGUUGGAAUUGGAGCUUGCUCCAUCCACUCCAAGGGGGAAAAAAAACAAAACAAAAUUAACUCUGAAAUACC
RNAcentral lists this small nuclear RNA (185 nucleotides) under Microtus ochrogaster (prairie vole). Its description in RNAcentral is "U2 spliceosomal RNA (ENSMOCG00000011849.1)". It matches the Rfam family "U2 spliceosomal RNA". Rfam says of the family: U2 is a small nuclear RNA (snRNA) component of the spliceosome (involved in pre-mRNA splicing). Complementary binding between U2 snRNA (in an area lying towards the 5' end but 3' to hairpin I) and the branchpoint sequence (BPS) of the intron results the bulging out of an unpaired adenosine, on the BPS, which initiates a nucleophilic attack at the intronic 5' splice site, thus starting the first of two transesterification reactions that mediate splicing. The record is from RNAcentral. Lineage: Eukaryota; Metazoa; Chordata; Mammalia; Rodentia; Cricetidae.